This 70-nucleotide transfer RNA is filed under the name Nematobrycon palmeri (emperor tetra). RNAcentral's name for it is "tRNA-Met". It matches the Rfam family "tRNA". Rfam says of the family: Transfer RNA (tRNA) molecules are approximately 80 nucleotides in length. Their secondary structure includes four short double-helical elements and three loops (D, anti-codon, and T loops). Lineage: Eukaryota; Metazoa; Chordata; Actinopteri; Characiformes; Acestrorhamphidae. The record is from RNAcentral.
AGUAAGAUAAGCUAAUUUAAGCUAUCGGGCCCAUACCCCGAAAAUGAAGGUUAAACCCCCUCUCUUACUA